Molecule: ribosomal RNA, 499 nt
Filed under: uncultured bacterium
Lineage: Bacteria
Description: SSU rRNA
Rfam family: Bacterial small subunit ribosomal RNA
Source: RNAcentral
AGGACGAACGCUGGCGGCGUGCUUAACACAUGCAAGUCGAGCGGAAAGGCCCUUCGGGGUACUCGAGCGGCGAACGGGUGAGUAACACGUGGGUAACCCACCCUUGGUACCGGGAUAGCCCGAGGAAACUCGGAUUAAUACCGGAUGGCCCAACAGCUCUUCGGGGCGGUUGGAAAAGGUAGCUUCGGCCUCCGACCAAGGACGGGCCCGCGGCGGAUUAGCUUGUUGGUGAGGUAACGGCUCACCAAGGCGACGAUCCGUAGCUGGUCUGAGAGGACGAUCAGCCACACUGGGACUGAGACACGGCCCAGACUCCUACGGGAGGCAGCAGUGGGAAUCUUGCGCAAUGGGCGAAAGCCUGACGCAGCGACGCCGCGUGGGGAAGAAGGCUUUCGGGUUGUAAACCCCUUUCAGGAAGGACGAAGCCACUCGGGUUAAUAGCCCAGAGGGUGACGGUACUUCCAGAAGAAGCCCCGGCUAACUACGUGCCAGCAGCCGC